AGCUUCAGUGAAAAAGGAGGGGGAGAAGAAAGCUACCUCAGAGAACCCGCAUGAACACAAGCAUGAACGUGUUAAACGUGAAAAAGCUGUCUCUCAGACUAAGCCAGAGGAGAAAAUGAAACAACAAAAGACAACUCCCACUGAGAAGUCAGGUAAGAAUAAGUGAUUCUCUCCUGAUUUAUGGAGGGGGGGGGGAGUAUUAAACACUAUUCAGCAUUCAUCUAGUGUAGUAUAUUUGCAUUGCAAUAUUUUUUACAAUGUUUUGAAAUAAGUAACUGAUAACAAAGAAAAACCAGCAGAGAGGAAAUUGCAACUUCUGUUCUACUAAGAAUUGUCUUUCCAAUUAUGAAGACAGGUCAGGGCCUUUCAGCUCCUUAGCUUCUUGUUCCAGCCAUUAGCCAGAGCUGGAUUAAUGAAGUGAGGUGGAACUGUAAAUCAGACCUCUGAAAGGAUCCCAAAUAUGAGGAUAAAUUACCAGAUGGAUUAGGACUUUGGAUCAGUCCAAUGGAGAAAAUGUUUUUGGGACUAAACUCUAAAUCUUUGGGUUUUAUCUGUGACUAAGACUGUGUAGUUUUUUAAUGUAAUGUUGACAGGAAACAAAAGUCAAGUAACAAUGAGUGUUCUAGAAGCUGUGAAGAGUCAGCCAAGGAAUUAUAACAUUCUCAUCAUCACUGGCAGUCAACACAAAGCUGUCUAAACUUAUGGGGUUCGAAUGCUGUGCAUCCCUGCACAAGUAGGGGAAGAUAAGAACAAGUGAGAACUGACUCCAAUAUAAUGCUUGAAUGUUAAAAAGAAAGGGAAAAAACAGAGUUUUUUUUCUACUUUUUGUAUCUAACUAUUACAAUUUUAUCUCUUUUGUCUUCUGUAGCCCAGGCAAAACCACCAAGUAUGUUA
Motacilla alba alba is the source of this 894-nucleotide long non-coding RNA. RefSeq lists it as uncharacterized. Lineage: Eukaryota; Metazoa; Chordata; Aves; Passeriformes; Motacillidae. The record is from RefSeq and is a predicted model, not a curated record. The transcript has 4 exons.